RNAcentral lists this long non-coding RNA (5975 nucleotides) under Lynx pardinus (Iberian lynx). The record is from RNAcentral. Lineage: Eukaryota; Metazoa; Chordata; Mammalia; Carnivora; Felidae.
GAAAGAUGGUAAGAAGCCAAUUAGAUGGAUGGAUGGCUGACUGACAGCUCUCUGGUAUUACGACUCCAGAUUUCAGACUACAUAGCCUGGCAGUUUUCUACAAGAACCAACUUUUUUGCAGGUUGGUAAAGCUGUUAAAUGUGGAACUAUAUAUAGCGCUAUAUAAAUUUUGCAAAGUUGUACAUUUUCCUUAAAUAAGCAUGUAUUCUUUUCAAUCAGGGUUUGCAUUAAACAAGUUUUCACAAUUUAAUCACAACUUGUGUCACUAAAUUUAGCAGUAUUAAAAUUCUAGACAACUUGUAGGCACAUUAGCUGUGCCAGUAGAGAAGUGAUUAAAAAGCUGAGAGCCACGUUGAGCCAGCAGAGAUAAAGUGAACUAAUAAUUAGAAUGUCUGUGCAAAUAUGCCUUUGGAACUUUGAAAUGUACAUUGUUUGGUUUUAAGCAACUAAAAGCAUAAACCCUAAACUUCCUCUCCGUCUUUAGCUUCUACACACAUAUAUUUGCCUAUUAUCCUUGUUCAAAGUCUAAUAUAUGCUUGUGUGUCUGCUACUUCAGCUAUUUGGAGAUAAAAAAAAAAUAAAAUAAACUGUUAGGCUCAAGCUUCCAGUUUGGCCGGGAUAUUCUAUAGCUUCUAACCAAUGGGAAUUAACUCUUCAUAUUACCCAAUUUGGAACCUUAAUGAAUGUUUCUUGUGCGUUGCACGCUGUGAUGUGUAUGUUGUAUAUAUACAGACACAGACACACACAUUCAUGCACACAGUUAUGCUUUUUCAGAAGCAAACCAUUUGCUAUUAGAGUGACAUGUCUCCAUCUGUAGUUUAAAAUAAGAGAAUUUUCUUUCAAAUCAUAAUGAUACCUCAGAUUCAUCCAGCAUUUUGAAAUAGUAAGGGAAGGCAAUUAUUUCACUAUAAACUGAAUUUUAGUAAGGAGCAUUAACCCAAAGGAAAAUUGCAAAGUGUAUUUUCUUACUGUGGGGAAUAGAUGUAUAAACUGAAAGUGGAUAGGAAACCAAUCGUGGGUCCAAAUUCCUUUAGUCACUUGAAACCAAAUAGGGUGCAAAGUUUCAUGUUUAUCACUCCCCCUCCAUUUGAUGUCAAAAAUCCAUACAGGAAACAUGAUUAAGGAUGUCUUAUCAUGUGUAUUAGUCUUUCCUUAUUUUUUCUUUUUUGCCUGGGCUGGCAUUAUCUGUGCUUUUGUUUUAUGUAGUCUUGUUACAAUAAGAUAAGCUUCUGAUACUUAUAAGCAUUCUAAAAAGUAUUCUACUUACACAUACUUAGAAAGUUUAAAUAGAAGUUCAGGGCAGGAGUGACAGUGCCAUCACCUACAUCCCAAAUCAGAGAGGAAUAAAUGCAUGUUGGUUUUUAUUUAGAAGCUUAAAGAUUUUACCUGUAGACACCAAGUACCAAGAGAAACAGAAAUCUUCUUGAAGAGAUUUUAUAAUUUUUUUAAAGAAACAUUUCCCCUCAACAGUGGAAGCCCUUAUCGAAUCAAAAUUCACGUUCAUGAUUCAACAUUUGUGCUCCCUUCUAAUUUGCUAUUGUAAAGAGGGAAAUGCUAAAAUAUAAAGUGCCCCAAUAAAAUAGGUAUUCAAAUAAGAAAAGCUUUGAAACAUUUGCUUAUUUGGUUGGACACUCAUGCUCAGAGUUUGGCUGGGGAUUUUCUCCCAUGUCCUCAGCUUACCUCAGCCAUUCAUACUUUCUACUGAUAUUUAUUUCACUUUUUGAUUCUCUUACUUAUGACACAAUAUUAAUGCACCAUAUUUUCUCAAGCUUUAGGAGAAGUUCUGUCUCUUUUGAAAAAUAAGUAGAAUUGAAAAUUGAGUAACAAUGUAUUAUAGACAGCUUUCAAAAUAACAAGUCCCCUCACUGUGGAAAACUUCUUUUGUUUCUAAACUCUGUAUUGAGAGAAUUUCUGUUUAAGGAGAAAUCUGAAGAGAAAUAUUUAUUAAAGUGAAGUGAGUACCGAAAAUCCUAGGAGACCUAUUGUAUCACUGUAGGAGAAAGAGAUAUAUUUGUAAAUAAAAGAUAAAGUGUGUUGUCAUCAAAACAAAAAGAUGCCUCCAUAAGACUUGUAGGGUUGUGCCUCGAAAAUGUAGGAAAACUCCGUGGAGCUCAUUGUUAACAUUGUGCUUAUAUGAAACUCAUUUGCAAUUUGAGUGGCUGGAAUUUGAACAUAAAUAGCAAAGAGAAGAAUAUAGACAAGUUUCUUAAAAAAUGUUUUUCUUCAGUGUAUCUGUAUUUGUAAUUGAAUAUUUGAUUAUAGAUAAACUUUGGCAGAUUUAAAACAGAAUAUUUUGAUAGCACAUAACUAUUGUAGGUCUGCCUCUCAGGUAGAGGUAUGCAAAUAAUGAUUUGAGACACAGUUUAAAAAUAAUCAAUUUUCUCUUCAGUGCAUUUUAUACUAAGUAAAAAGUAAAGGAAAGAAAAACUUAGGUAAAAAUAACUGAAGAUGUGAAUGUUAAAGUUAUUUUCCCGGGGUUUUUUUCCAGAUGGUUUAUAGAAAUGCACCUUCAAUGAUAUCUGUGGAAUACAUCUUUCUAAUCUUAUAGAAAACUGGAUUUUUUGUUCCAUGUUUAUAAGCAAUUUUUACAAGUAAAAUAACAACUGACCUUGAACAUCUUUUAAACUAUGUUAUCAAGAAAUAAUGUUGUGUAGGUUUAAACACUAAAUGUUAAAAACCAUGUCAUUAAGGAAUAAUGUUAUUUAUGUGGAAUUGCUUUUCAGCACCUCAUACACUUUUCUAAUUCCGUAAACAUCCAAAGGACCUUGCAAACCACCAGUCACAACACAGUGGUUAAAUAUUUGGCCUCCUUUACUUACUGGGUUUGGAGUACUUUCCAGAAGCCAACAUGUUACUUAAGAUCUGCCCAUCCAUCUUACCUGAUUUGGAAUGUAGUAUGGCAGUUUAUUCAUAUACAUGAAUAUAUGAAUAUUCAUAUUCAUAUAUGUGAAUAUACUGUAUACUAAUUGCAUAUAUAGUAUAUAUUAUUACUGAGCGAGAAAGGAGAGAAAAGUAAGCACUGAAGGGGCAGAGAUCCUGUGGGAAGAAGAAAUCAGCAAUGAUUCUUUGUUAUGCCAUGCUCAUAAACUGUUCAGAAUCCCAUUAAAAUGAAUGGUUUGAAUUUAAAAAAUGGUGUGAAUUUAAAAAUCCACAAUAUUAAGACAUAUACAGAAAAAAACAUAGCUUUCCAAAAGACUAAAUUGGUAUGUAGAUCCCAACAGUAAAAAACAAACAAACAAACAAAGUAAAAAAACAAAUCUUCCCCUUUCUCCCUGAAUUCUGAUGGUCUUUUUCUUAAAUCUCUUUUCAAGCAUAUCACCGUCUAUGCACUGUAACAGCUAACUGUAAGCAUUUUAAAGGCAGGAACUGCAUCUCACUUAUCUUUUUAUUCCUGCACCAAAAAUACCAACUCACAGUAGAGGCUCAAUAAUAGUGACUGAAUUUCAUGCUUUGCAGCCUUAGUUCUCAUACCUAUCCAGUUAACUGCUCAAUUGGUUACUUCCGUGUGCUCAAGUUGUGACUGGGCCAGGUAGUUUUAUUGUAUUUCUUGUGCAAACCUAAGCCAAGUUAAAGUAUAUGCCUUGAUUAUAACAAGACUGGAUGAGAAAUGAUGGGCAGAGCAAUGCUUGAAGGCAUCAUAUCACAUCAUAAGCAUUGUAAUAUUAUAAUAACUACAUCAUAAUACAUCAUCUAGCUAAGUCUGACCAUUGACUGGUCUUCUAUCCCACAGAGAACCAUAUAUACUGUUUUCCACAGCAAAACUACUCUGUGUCUGUACAUAAAGACAGCAAAAUAUUGGAAAUUUCUUAUCGUUCAACUCAAUUUUAUCUAUCCAAUUGUUCAAAACAUCCUUGAAAGGUAAAUAUUUGUUUACUAUAUUUUUUAGUUUAUUUAUGUAUUCAUUGAGAGAGGGAGAGAGUAGGGAAGGGGCAGAGAGAGAGGUAGAGAAAGAAUCCCAAGCAGGCUCUGCACUGUCAGUGCAGAACCCAAUGUGGGGCUCGAAGUCACAGUCUGUGAGAUCAUGACCUGAGGAGAAAUCAAGAGUCGGUUGCUUAACUGACUGAGCCACCCAGGUGCCCUGAAAGUAAAUAUUUUAAUUCUCAUUUGCAUAUGUGACUUUGAAGAAGUUAAGUAACUUUCCUUUGGUGUAGUAUCUAGUACAUGGCAAAAUAAAAUUUGAACUGAGACCUUUCUGAUUUCAAAGCUUGUACUCUUUCUACUGUGCCUGACUUCCUAAUAUUAAAAAUAAUAAUUCAAUUAUUAGCAUAACAAUAGUUUCUAAAUUUAAUGUGAGCGUUUCUAGAGAAAACCUAUGAUUAAAGAAGGAGUAGUGUUGUAUACCUUUGUGUAUGGACAUCGACAUUAUUUAAUUGUGUUAACCAUCAUGUCAUCAAUACACAAUAAAUAAUAUAUCUUAUUAUUUACAAGAAAAAUAAUCUGUAUAGGUACAAGCUAAUAGAUAGGGGGAAAAUGGACACCAAUCCUGUUCAUAAACCAAAUUAAGGGAGAGAAAUAAGAGAAUACAAUACAGUCUUUCCCUCUUGGGAUCUCAAAAUCUAUUGAAAAAAGACAGAAAUAACCUUAAUACAAUACUUGAUACACACAGUAUAAUAUUCUAAGAAAUAAAGUUCAUUGGUUUCCCUGAGAAAUUAAGAAGAGGCUUCAUCUGAGUUAGGCCUUGUCAGGUGACUACACAUUUACACUGACUGAGAUAGGAAAGAGAUCACUUAAGGUAAGAGGAACAGCAUGAGCCUGGAUAGGUAAGAAUGAUGGUGGCAAAUUAUCACAUGUACCUAGAGCAUAGAGUGAAGGCUGCAAGUGCAAGAUCGGGUGGGAGGCUUGUAGAAGGAUGAGUAUGUUGGGAAAUAAUCUUGGAAAAUCAGGCUAGGACACAAGAAAGGAGACUUUCCGGUGAGGCUAGUAAGUAUCCACUUUCUUCUGUAGGUAAUGGGAAGUCAUCUAUGAGCCUCACUAUGACGUGAUUGGAUUUGCGAAGUAGGAUAACUCUAAGAGCAACAUGUAGCAAAGCUAGAAAGUUUAAAAAAAAAAAAAAGGGCAGAAGACAGACCAGUAUGGGGACUGGUUCAAUUACAGUGAUGGUGACUAACCUAAACUGUGACCAAGGAUUUAUAGAGAUGAAGGUUUAACUACAGCCAGCUCUGCUUGGUUAGGAUCAAAACACCUUUUUUUUUUUUUUUUUAACAAUGAUAAUGUUUUUACUUUUAUUAGAUUUAGGUUCUAAAUUUGCUAGCAAUUGACCAGUUUGACUGUUAAGCAUAGUACUCCAUCACCAAGGAAGAGUCGGAGCAGGAAUGCAAAAUGUUUCAGUAUUUUGUUUUCCUUGGGAAAAAAAAUUAUUAUAUUAAUAUUAAUUUUUCUAUUUUUAUUUUUUCAACAGAAGGUCAUACAUAUGCUAUUUCAGAGUUCACAGCUAGCCCCUCACUACCCAAGUUGUGGGUGUUAUUGCCAGACUGCAGAGAUGCACAAGAAUUGACUUGAGAAGGAAGGAGAUUAUUCAUGCGCCCUCACACACUGUUAUCUCUGGGAACUCUUAAUCAAUGCAGGGUGAAAGCCAGUCAGCACAACUGAGGGUAGGGCACCCAGGCUGUUUAGUGGAAGAUGAAGAAUUAAAAUGUGAUUAUUACUCAAAUUGGAAUAAAAAAUAAAGAGUACAUUCCAGGAAAGAAGAGGAAGAGGAUAAUAGAACUAAAUAAAGAUUUACCUACCGAAUCACUUGCUUUAUUGUGCCUUGUCCUUGAAAUGCCAAAGACAUUACAAUAAGCUUUGAUGGGAGGGAAUGGUUUGGGGGAUUUAUACUCCAUCUGUGUUUUGCUUUUGCAGAUAUGCUGAAAUAGAAAUUCUUAAAUGCUGGGAAUGUCUACUAAGUAUACCUGGGAAUAUAGAUUAAAUCCUCUUAUGGAAAAUUGCACUAAAAUUUAAAAAUCUGUGUAUGAGCCAAAAAAUAAAUUCUAAAU